This 475-nucleotide ribosomal RNA is filed under the name uncultured bacterium. Its description in RNAcentral is "bacterial SSU rRNA". It matches the Rfam family "Bacterial small subunit ribosomal RNA", at positions 335 to 802 of the family's 1533-position model. The record is from RNAcentral.
ACUCCUACGGGAGGCAGCAGUAGGGAAUCUUCCACAAUGGACGAAAGUACUGAUGGAGCAACGCCGCGUGAGUGAAGAAGGGUUUCGGCUCGUAAAACUACUGUUGUUAAAGAAGAACAUAUCUGAGAGUAACUGUUCAGGUAUUGACGGUAUUUAACCAGAAAGCCACGGCUAACUACGUGCCAGCAGCCGCGGUAAUACGUAGGUGGCAAGCGUUGUCCGGAUUUAUUGGGGCGUAAAGCGAGCGCAGGCGGUUUUUAAGUCUGAUGUGAAAGCCUUCGGCUCAACCGAAGAAGUGCAUCGGAAACUGGGAAACUUGAGUGCAGAAGAGGACAGUGGAACUCCAUGUGUAGCGGUGAAAUGCGUAGAUAUAUGGAAGAACACCAGUGGCGAAGGCGGCUGUCUGGUCUGUAACUGACGCUGAGGCUCGAAAGUAUGGGUAGCAAACAGGAUUAGAUACCCUGGUAGGAUAGCG